GGGCCGGUAGAUCAAGCUGGCAGAUCGCCUGACUCUCGAUCAGGAGGUUCCGGGUUCGAGCCCCGGUCGGCCUGC
This 75-nucleotide transfer RNA is filed under the name Actinoplanes sp. OR16. Its description in RNAcentral is "tRNA-Glu". It matches the Rfam family "tRNA". From Rfam's summary of the family: Transfer RNA (tRNA) molecules are approximately 80 nucleotides in length. Their secondary structure includes four short double-helical elements and three loops (D, anti-codon, and T loops). Further hydrogen bonds mediate the characteristic L-shaped molecular structure. tRNAs have two regions of fundamental functional importance: the anti-codon, which is responsible for specific mRNA codon recognition, and the 3' end, to which the tRNAs corresponding amino acid is attached (by aminoacyl-tRNA synthetases). tRNAs cope with the degeneracy of the genetic code in two manners: having more than one tRNA (with a specific anti-codon) for a particular amino acid; and 'wobble' base-pairing, i.e. permitting non-standard base-pairing at the 3rd anti-codon position. The record is from RNAcentral. Lineage: Bacteria; Bacillati; Actinomycetota; Actinomycetes; Micromonosporales; Micromonosporaceae.